GAAUUGGAUAUGUGGAGGUUCAGGCUGCCAGAAUCGACACGGCCGGAGCUCGCUAGCGCGGUUCUAGAGGACGGAGAGUUGAUUGUGACGGUGCCCAAGGUAGAUGAACUGGAGGAGGAAGGAAAUGAUAAUAAUGGGGAAUUUAGAGGAGGUAUGGGAAAUAAUAACAGUGCUAGGCUUGUGCUUGUACAGUGAUAAUCAUAAUUGCUGCUCUUUAGCUUUUCGCUUUUGUUCUUUUCUUUAAAUGAAUGUUGUUGUGCAAGCUAGGUUUUGAAGUUGGUGGUUUGGAUUAGGUUUUUU
Molecule: unclassified non-coding RNA, 300 nt
Filed under: Hevea brasiliensis (rubber tree)
Lineage: Eukaryota; Viridiplantae; Streptophyta; Magnoliopsida; Malpighiales; Euphorbiaceae
Source: RNAcentral